This 497-nucleotide ribosomal RNA is filed under the name uncultured bacterium. RNAcentral describes it as "partial 16S ribosomal RNA". It matches the Rfam family "Bacterial small subunit ribosomal RNA", at positions 28 to 507 of the family's 1533-position model. The record is from RNAcentral.
GAUGAACGCUGGCGGCGUGCCUAAUACAUGCAAGUCGAGCGAACAGACGAGGAGCUUGCUCCUCUGACGUUAGCGGCGGACGGGUGAGUAACACGUGGAUAACCUACCUAUAAGACUGGGAUAACUUCGGGAAACCGGAGCUAAUACCGUAUAACAUGUUGAACCGCAUGGUUCAACAGUGAAAGACGGUCUUGCUGUCACUUAUAGAUGGAUCCGCGCCGCAUUAGCUAGUUGGUAAGGUAACGGCUUACCAAGGCAACGAUGCGUAGCCGACCUGAGAGGGUGAUCGGCCACACUGGAACUGAGACACGGUCCAGACUCCUACGGGAGGCAGCAGUAGGGAAUCUUCCGCAAUGGGCGAAAGCCUGACGGAGCAACGCCGCGUGAGUGAAGAAGGUCUUCGGAUCGUAAAACUCUGUUAUUAGGGAAGAACAAAUGUGUAAGUAUCUAUGCACGUCUUGACGGUACCUAAUCAGAAAGCCACGGCUAACUACGUG